This 254-nucleotide ribosomal RNA is filed under the name uncultured bacterium. RNAcentral describes it as "partial 16S ribosomal RNA". It matches the Rfam family "Bacterial small subunit ribosomal RNA", at positions 524 to 776 of the family's 1533-position model. The record is from RNAcentral.
UACGGGGGGGGGCAAGCGUUGUUCGGAAUUACUGGGCGUAAAGGGCUUGUAGGCGGCCAACUAAGUCCGACGUGAAAUCCCCAGGCUUAACCUGGGAACUGCGUCGGAUACUGGAUGGCUUGAAUUCGGGAGAGGGAUGCAGAAUUCCAGGUGUAGCGGUGAAAUGCGUAGAUAUCUGGAGGAAUACCGGUGGCGAAGGCGGCAUCCUGGACCGACACUGACGCUGAGGCGCGAAAGCGUGGGGAGCAAACAGG